AUGCAAACUCAGUGAUGCAUUGGCUUGUGGCCAAUGCAGUGCUGCAGGGAAGCCGUUAAGUUUGCCGCCUGGGAAGUACGUACGCAAGUAUGAAACUUAAAGGAAUUGGCGGGGGAGCACCACAAGGGGUGAAGCCUGCGGUUCAAUUGGAGUCAACGCCAGAAAUCUUACCCGGAGAGACAGCAGAAUGAAGGUCAAGCUGAAGACUUUACCAGACAAGCUGAGAGGUGGUGCAUGGCCGUCGCCAGCUCGUGCCGUGAGAUGUCCUGUUAAGUCAGGUAACGAGCGAGAUCCCUGCCUCUAGUUGCCACCAUUACUCUCAGGAGUAGUGGGGCGAAUUAGCGGGAGCGCCGCAGUGAAUGCGGAGGAAGGAAGGGGACACGGCAGGUCGGUAUGCCCGGAAACUCUGGGGCCACACGCGGGCUGCACUGGUAGGGACAAUUGGUUUCGGAUCCGAAGCGAUGAGGUAAGCGUCAAACGCAACAAGAGUAGAGGCUGAAGGCUGGAACACGCCCGCACGAAUUUGGGGUCCCUAGUCACUGCGUGUCGGUAUCCCUCGGUGACUACGUGCA
RNAcentral lists this ribosomal RNA (572 nucleotides) under seawater metagenome. RNAcentral describes it as "bacterial SSU rRNA". It matches the Rfam family "Archaeal small subunit ribosomal RNA", at positions 760 to 1330 of the family's 1478-position model. The record is from RNAcentral.